RNAcentral lists this ribosomal RNA (490 nucleotides) under uncultured bacterium. Its description in RNAcentral is "partial 16S ribosomal RNA". It matches the Rfam family "Bacterial small subunit ribosomal RNA", at positions 30 to 507 of the family's 1533-position model. The record is from RNAcentral.
AUUGAACGCUGGCGGCAGGCCUAACACAUGCAAGUCGAACGGUAACAGGAAGCAGCUUGCUGCUUCGCUGACGAGUGGCGGACGGGUGAGUAAUGUCUGGGAAACUGCCUGAUGGAGGGGGAUAACUACUGAAAACGGUAGCUAAUACCGCAUAACGUCGCAAGACCAAAGAGGGGGACCUUAGGGCCUCUUGCCAUCGGAUGUGCCCAGAUGGGAUUAGCUAGUAGGUGGGGUAACGGCUCACCUAGGCGACGAUCCCUAGCUGGUCUGAGAGGAUGACCAGCCACACUGGAACUGAGACACGGUCCAGACUCCUACGGGAGGCAGCAGUGGGGAAUAUUGCACAAUGGGCGCAAGCCUGAUGCAGCCAUGCCGCGUGUAUGAAGAAGGCCUUCGGGUUGUAAAGUACUUUCAGCGGGGAGGAAGGGAGUAAAGUUAAUACCUUUGCUCAUUGACGUUACCCGCAGAAGAAGCGCCGGCUAACUCCGUG